GUGUCAUAUGAAAGGAGAGGUUAUCACUCCCCUUGAUAAGAAUGGAUGAAGCACUUGGGCCUGCCAUCAAGCAUACAGUUAAGGCAUUGCCACCUACUUCAUGGCAUCUAACCAUCUUCUUUU
Molecule: small nuclear RNA, 123 nt
Organism: Perognathus longimembris pacificus (Pacific pocket mouse)
Lineage: Eukaryota; Metazoa; Chordata; Mammalia; Rodentia; Heteromyidae
Source: RefSeq, a predicted model, not a curated record